UUGGGGACAGAGGCACAGGAUG
Molecule: microRNA, 22 nt
Filed under: Mus musculus (house mouse)
Lineage: Eukaryota; Metazoa; Chordata; Mammalia; Rodentia; Muridae
Description: mmu-miR-6989-5p
Source: miRBase by way of RNAcentral